RNAcentral lists this ribosomal RNA (374 nucleotides) under Hyalinobatrachium taylori (Taylor's glass frog). RNAcentral's name for it is "partial 12S ribosomal RNA". Lineage: Eukaryota; Metazoa; Chordata; Amphibia; Anura; Centrolenidae. The record is from RNAcentral.
UGAAAUCAAUUAUUACUUAAUAUACACAUGCAAGUCUCCGCACCCCUGUGAAAACGCCCUUAAAUCCCCCUUAGGGAUAAGGAGCUGAUAUCAGGCACAACAAAAUCGCCCAAGACAUCUAGCUACGCCACACCCACAAGGGAACUCAGCAGUGAUUAACAUUGAACAUAAGCGAAAGCUUGACUCAGUUAAAGUAAAAAGAGCCGGCAAAUCUGGUGCCAGCCGCCGCGGUUACACCACGUGGCCCAAAUUGACUUCUACCGGCGUAAAGCGUGAUUAAAGACACCACUAAUAAUGGAGUUAAACUAAAACUAAGCUGUGACACGCUUGUGCUUAAGAAAACCGUAACGAAAGUUACUCCAAUUUAACCAACU